Molecule: long non-coding RNA, 2494 nt
Filed under: Homo sapiens (human)
Lineage: Eukaryota; Metazoa; Chordata; Mammalia; Primates; Hominidae
Description: HSALNT0184603
Source: RNAcentral
GUAGGUUCGUCCUUGCUCUGAGGGAAGAGUGUGGGCCACAGGCCAUGGGGACACUCUGAGGAUGUGGGUGCUGCCCAUCUUGAAGUUUCUCCCCACCCCUCUCCGGAGCUGCUACCAUUGUCCUUUGCCCUCGGAGUGCUCUCCUCCCACCCCCGCCGCCUCUUGUUCUCUUUCUCCCUUGAGCCGUUAGAAUGGCAGGGAGCCCAGCCAGGGCCUGGACGGCGGCCUCAGCUCCCUGUUCUCAAUAAUUGUGUGUGUGUGCAUGUGUGCAUGUGUACGUGUGAGUGCCUGUGUGUGUGCAUUGUGUGUAGGGGCUGGGGCUGGAGUCGACAACAGAUCAGAGCACAGGAGUAGAGCGCUUCUGGGAGGGUGGGGCCACCCGUGAGUCACGUCCUGCACCCUGGAGCCCAGAGGACCCUUCGCUCAAACCCACCACCAGCUGGCAACACCGGACCAGACCAGCCGGAGCCGCUUUCUUCGCUGCGCAGAGGAGCCUGGGAGAAGCCAGAGGUGCUUGAGGAUGGAUUCUUGGCUCCUGGUGCAUUGCCACUCCCUGCCACCCUCCUCCUUGUCUUCUAUCUUCUCCUGGUGGCGUCAGGCCUUGCUUCGUGUCCCAACAGGAGCCUCUGGGGCUGGCACAGCCCUCACUGCCUACAACCUGGGCCUGGUGGUUCUCCUAGGGUGCCUCUGGGAGGUCAUGGUCACCCCGCUGCUGGCUAACUGCAGCUACUUCUGCCAGCCAGUGGACUACAGAUGGAGAAAGCAUGGAAUGAGGGCAUCUUCCUGGAGACAGGAAGGUAGGCACUGUGGAAUCAGCGGUGCGUAGAACAGUGAGGAUUUGGGGCUGAACCCAGCCCAGGUGGGCCAAGCCGUGGCACCAGCCGGACUGCAGUCUGAUGGAACUUCCCCUUCCUGCCCAGCAGAUGGCGAGCGUGUGCUGCUGGUGCCUCUUUCCAAAGGACGUUGAAUUGCUUGACAGGUGUUCUUUACUUUAUGAAUGAAGCCAGAGCAGCCCACCUUCCUGCAUCUCUACCACCAUGGCACCAUGCCCUGUGAUGGGUGGGCUGGAGUCAAAUAUGUAGCAGGCAGCCAGGGUCAGUUUGUGGCCACUGCUGCCCCCUCUUCCUACAGUCUCCUCACUGAGUGCCCCUUCCCUGUUGGGUUCAACACAUCUGUGCUCCUGUAAGCCCUCAGCCUCCUCGUUCUCUUCCUCAACUUCUACCACCAGACACAUCUGAGAAGCAAGCAAGAGAGGCUGAACUAGGAGCAGGACCCAGGGACUGAAACCAGCACAGCAUCCCCACAGAGAAUUGGGUGGAAGGCAGCAUGGCUUCCAGCUUACUGGUGCUGAGCAGAUUGCUCUGGGUCUCCAUUGUAUCCUCUGAAGGAAGGAGGAGGAUUGCCUUCUGUCCAGAUCUCAGGAUCAAACAAAUAGGUCCAAUUUCCUGUGCUCACUUCAGUUAGAGCACUUCUCAUGUGACUUUGUAGCUUUGUGUGCAUCUCCUUCCUCUACUAGACCUAAGCCCCUCACGGGAGGGACUCUCUUAUUCUUGAUGUUCCCCACACCUGGAAUUUCAAUAAACAUCUCAAUAAACGUGUGUGUUUGGAUCCUUGGAUCCCAUGACUGCCGUCAUAACCUUGGUGAAGAAGAGGGCUGGGAGUAGGAAAGAGGUCAAGGUUCGCUUGAUCUCUAACCCUAUAGUGGGAAAUUGUGACGGAGAAUAUUCAAGAGUGGGUGUGGGUCUGUUUGAUUUCAGGUGUAGCUGUGUAAAUAGUUAGCCCUGCAUAUAUUUUUGUCUACUCACAACUGCCUGCAUGUGUAUUCAUAGAGUUGUGUGAUUCUGUGUAUGUGCCUGGGGAGUGGGAGAGGGCCAUGUGCACAUGUCUGAAUACUUGUUUUCAAAUAUACAUGCAUGUUUCCAUUUGGGUUUCUCUCCAUUUGUGUUGUUUGCCUGCCUCUUCUGUAAGUCUCUGAAAGUGCCACAUUGGCAAAUAAAAGCCACUGGGAUCAAUAAUUCUCCUGUUCUGAUGGGAGACAUGGAAGCCCACUGAGAAAUCUCCGAAUACAUGUUCCACUAAGAGCUUCCAAAAAUAAAUGGGAAAAAAGGAGAAAUGGGGCACACCCAUCUUCUUCACAGAGAGGGAAACUGAGGACCAGCAAAGGGGAAUAUAUGACUGAGAUACUAUGGCAGAAGCAAAUAUUGGCUGAGCUGUUCAAACCCAGAAUAGGAUGGGUUUCUUGAAAGCAGUUUGCCUGGGAGCUGUCUCUAUGUCUCCAGUAUGAUGACUUUUCUCCUUUAUAAUUGCCCUUCGGCUGUUUUUCAUCUCUAGGUAAGUUCUUAUUUUGCCAUGCCUCAAUAGUCAAGAAAAUUAAAGAAUUGCUGAAGGUUAUGCAGUGCUAUUUGGGGACUGUGUCUCCAUCUGGCCUUUUAGUUAAUCAACCCAAGGCCAGGCAAGGCUACAUCCUGUGGACAGAAUACUCAGAGAAAAUUCC